UAAGAUCCCUUAUAGACGAUAAGGUUGAUAGGCUGGGUGUGGAAGCAUGGUGACAUGUUCGAGCUGACCAGUACUAAUAGAUCGAGGACUUAACCU
This 96-nucleotide ribosomal RNA is filed under the name Anaeroplasma bactoclasticum. RNAcentral's name for it is "partial 23S ribosomal RNA". It matches the Rfam family "Bacterial large subunit ribosomal RNA", at positions 2828 to 2925 of the family's 2925-position model. Lineage: Bacteria; Bacillati; Mycoplasmatota; Mollicutes; Anaeroplasmatales; Anaeroplasmataceae. The record is from RNAcentral.